RNAcentral lists this unclassified non-coding RNA (277 nucleotides) under Hevea brasiliensis (rubber tree). Lineage: Eukaryota; Viridiplantae; Streptophyta; Magnoliopsida; Malpighiales; Euphorbiaceae. The record is from RNAcentral.
AUUGGAUCCAUCGUUUUCUUCACAUGAAAAUGGUUUCAAUAUUGUUUCUUGGGCCUGCAUGCUGUUGCGACAUGGCCAAGCAGAAGAUGUCUUCAAUGCAGGGUUAUGGGAUUCAGGUCCCCAAGAUGAUCUGGUGGAAAUGCUGCACUUGGCUGUCAGAUGUACAGUUGAGACCGUCUCAACCAGGCCUACCAUGAAGCAAGUUGUCCAGCAGUUGAAGCAAAUUCAACCUUCCUAAUGUUAGCGAGGCAAAGAAGCUUACGAAUGUGUACAUGCG